UGUGGGGAAUCCUGGCAUCUCAGGGGAGCGGACAGCAGGAGGGGUAGGGGCACCAAAGUUAACUCACCGUCUGCAGCACAGCCAAUUUCACCUUCCCGAAUUUAUCUUGCUCUAUCCAGGGCUCCCGCACGAUUUUGGCGCCCCGUUCCCGGGCUUUCUGCAGAGGAGAUGGGUCAGGGAGGCGGUUAAGUGCUGGACCCUCCCAGAGCCCUUGCCGGCUCCCCUGGGGUCCAGCCUCUGCGGGACUUCCCCACCUCAUCCUGCCACAGGCUCCUCUGGUUUUUCCAGCCCCGGGCGGGAACUACAGCCAGCUUCAGCUACCGCCCCCGACACCCAUGCCUUGUGCCCGUCUGGCAAAUAGGGAAACUGAGACCCAGGCCCAGGGUUGGGGCUACGAGAGACAAACCAGGUGGGGGUGGGGGUGUGUCCCACCUCUGCUAACCCACUCUGUGGCCCUUCCCCCUCUCCAGUCCUCAGCUUCCCCAUCUGUAAAACAGGUGAUUGGAUAGGAAGAAUCCGACGGGCAUUUAUCGAGCACCUGUGUCAGACCCUUGCCAGGCACCCUUACAUGCAUGACUCCUGCAUUUAUUUAGCAAAACCUGACUGCAUAGCUGUGCUUAUCACAUGUCCGGCAUCAGUGAAGGUAGUAACCUCUUCCACCCGCACAGCAACAUUACAGGAAAGGUACUGUGAUUGUCUCCAUUUUAUAGUUGAGGAAACAGAGGCGCAGAGAAGUUAAGUCACUUGCCCAAAGUCUCACAGAUAAUAAGAUUCAGACCUGGGCAGUCUGGCUCUGGAGUCUAUGCUCUGAACCUCCAAGCUGCUUCUCGAAUAGGGUGUUUGGUUCAGAGUCACGCUCGAGAAGUCGUAAUUAUGAUCUCAUUUCCUCGGGGUAAACCUCAGUGAGGUAGGUGCUCUGAUUGUCCCCAUUUUACAGAUGUGGAAACUGAGGCUCAGGGAGACGACAUGCGGCUGGCAAGGUGGAGCUCAGGUGUGCAUCACAGCAGUGUCUGGGGUUGUCACCCCAACACGGCAGGUCCUCCGGCCCUGACCUACAGGGGACUCUGUGACAGACCAAGGGCAGCCCAGAAGCCAUCUCACCUGCACGAUGUAGUCACAGUCUUCCACCUCAAAUGCGAUGUCCUUCACUCCAUCGCCGUGUUUUACCAGGUGGUCGCCCAUCUCUGUGGCCGGUAGGGGAGGUCAUGGCGCUAGAGCCAUGGCCCCCUCCCCCCUCCCCUCUACUGUCAGUCCCGGGGUUCCAUCUCCUUCUAGGCUGGGGAACCCUCCCUGAACUGGACCCACUCCUUUGUUCCUUACCCUUCCCCCACAAUAGCUUGUCUUCACCCCCUAGUACCCUGAGCCCCCGGGCCUCCUUACCUUUGUUCCAGGGGUUGAGGGCGGAGGAGAAGACAAACACGAUCUAAGAACACAGAGGAGAAAGGAGGGGUAGCUGGUGGCUCAGGAGAGCACCUGGCGAUGUAUUACCAUCCCCUCCUCCCUGCCCACCUGGGAGACACCCCAGGACCACAUCACCCCUCCCAGCCAGGCAGGAUUCCUUAACCCUGGGUUCCAGCUCCGUCUCUGCCUUAGCUUCUCCCUGAGCUGAGCUCUUGGCUCUGGCCCCCCCCAGGGGAGGGAAUCCCCAGGGGUCCCAGGGACCAGGGCACUGCUCGGACUUUCAGUUCUGAUGUCUGAGGCCUCCGCCAACUUAUCGGGAACAUCUGUGAGGCCAGCGUUGGGCCAGGCCAAGGAGAUGAAACUAACAUCCGUGUUGCAAGUUGUACAAAGGUGCCCGUGGAAGGGAGAGUGGGGGCUCUCAGCCCAUGUUCCCUUAGCCCCACCAGAUGUCCUGGGAGAGAACCGGGUGGGCCUGGGGAAAGGGCCUCCUGGUCUACUUCACCCAGAGGCCAGAGCCCUAAGGAGACUCAGAGACCAGCAGGGGCAGAGAAGGCAAGUGGGAGCCUCCUGGGUGAGUGGGGUCCUGGGGUGGCGACUCACCUUGCCUUGCUUGAUCACGUGGCUGACCACCUCCCGGGAACCCGUUUCCAGGCCCUUGUAGGCCAGAGGUUCAAAGCCCAUCUUGUUACAGUAGAAUGACGCAGCCUAAAUCACAGAGUUACAACCGGGUUCCUGAGGGCCAGCCUGGGGGGCCCCCAGCUGGAGGGAGGGAGCCUCCAGUCCCCCUAAGACUGUCUGCCCUGUUGCCCCAGGCACAGAGUCCGUUCUGCGAAGAAAGGCCACUGCCUGGCCCAUUCUGAUGUCAGAUAAGUUUCCUGCUGGGGUCUGAGGCCCUGAUUGUGUAAUUAGUAUCCAAAGAGUGUCUCUCUUUCCUGGGAUGGUCCCAACACUGGCCCUGAUCCUCCCCACCCAGGGGCCAAUCACAGGCCCUACUGGAGGCCCGCCCUUGUCCAGGAGGCUCUCUUGCCUGCCCUCUGCCCUCUCCAGUUCCCGGCCCCAGCUUUUACCUGCUUGGCAUUGCCAACCCAGAAGGUCACGGAGUGGAAAUGGAGGAAUCGGCCCCUCGCAGGCUGCAGAAGGAGAGAAGGGGAGAGGCUAAGUCUCUGGAGAGCCUGGUUGCCUGGCUCUGACUCUGGGCUGACACCUGCUGUUGUCUGCUGCGAGCCAUUUCAGCCCCAUCACGAGCUGUGUGGAAUGAAAAUCAGGUGAAAUCACUCCACUCGAUGAGCUGGCCAGAUUUGGGACACCCCUCUGCGGAGCGGCCGCUGUGAAAACAUUACGGGUGCUGCCGGACCGUCUGGUUGUGCAGAUGUCCACGAUGAAGGGUUUGCUUUCUGAUGGCACAAGUUAAAACUCAGCUGCUGAUCGGCUAUUUCUGGUGCAGACUCGUUGCCUUCCUAACUGCGAUUCCUGCCCAAAGCAGCAGGUUGGGCGAGGGCAUGUCACAAGGACCGUGACCCUCCCACCCACUCCUGGCAGAUGGGAGAAUCUCAUGGCUAUGGAUUGUUGCAUUUGACUUUUCCACUAGUUGUAGUUUCCAUCAAUGAACUGACUGAUAGUCUGAUUCUCUGGUUUUGAGAGAGAGAGAGAAGAAGGAAGAAAGAAGAGAGAGAGAGAGAGAGAGAGAGAGAGAGAGAGAGGAUCCAAAGCAGGCUCUGUGCUAUCAGCAUAGAGCCCAACGUGGGGUUUGAACUCACAGACCAUGAGAUCAUGAUCUAAGCUGAAGUCGGACACUUAACCAACUGAGCCACCCAGGCACCCCAAGAAUUAAAGUUUUAAUUACUGAGUGGGACAUAGUGACUUUUUAACAACAGAGAAAAACAAAAUCCCAGUACCUGGGAGGCUCAGGGGAUAAGAGGCGAGAGCAUCACUCAUCUUGGCUUUUCAGAACUGUUCUGGCUUGGAACUGAUGGCCUCAAGUAGUCCCUCUUAAGCUAAUAACUCAAGGGAAUUAUUUGGACCGCAGCCAGAACCCUAGGAUAGGAGGUCCCAUCUGGGGAGUCCUGAUACCUAGACUUUCAGACAAAUACACACCCUCCUAGGGGGGCCCUGACACUGUAAACUCUGUUUCAGGUGGGGGGCAGGUUUGGCCUCUGGGACUGUACUUCUUCUGUGAGUCCCCUGGACAUCAUGAUAUUCAUUGCCUGUGCCCCGGAAGGUGUUCAAAGCAGCUUCAACUUAUUGGCCACAGUUGUGCUGUGCUGAAUCCUUGCACCUCUGCUCAGAUUUUAUUUUUCAGGCUCUGUGCUGACAGCAGAGAGACCGACACGGGGCUCGAACUCACGAACUGUGAGAUCAUGACCUGAACUGAAGUCUGAUGCUUAACUGCUUGAGAUACCCAGGCACCCUGAGACUGAGUUUUUAACUUAAGAAAAGAUCUUUAGCUGAGGGAAUGGGAUCUGUCUCCAAGUUGUCACCUUGGAAGGCAGAGCACCUUAAAAUAAUAAUAAUAAUAACAAAAACGCUGAUUUUCUGGUCACUGAUUUAUGUGCCAGGCACCGUGCUAAGCACAUUAUAUAUUGUGCUCUUUACUCAUUAAAUCCCCAAAUAACCCUCAGAGGUAAGUGCUAUCAACAUCCCCAUUUUACAGAUUAGAAAACAGAGGCUCAGAGAGGUGUCUGAGCACAGCGAAAAAGUGACAGAACUGAGAAAUGAACCAGGCCUGACUCUCUCCAAAGCCUACAAGCUAGCCACCUCCAGCCAUGCUGUCAUUACUCAGCUAUUUUGGGAAAUGCUUUGGGAAUGACCUCUGAGCCCAUUUUCAAGCAGCAGGAAAAAACAAACAAACAAACAAACAAAAAUUCAGUCUCCUGGUUGUACUCAUUAAGACCUGGAGAAGUUCCUCUUCAUUUGGCCUCUGGCAGAGUGGGAAGGGCAGGCGUGGCAGGAGGCCAGGGUGGGCCCAGGAGGGAGCUAGGAGACCUGUGGGCAUGCGCAGGGGCUCCGUUGGCGGGCUGGAGAGGAAGGCUUUGUUCAGGCAGAGGUGGGUGCCCCGUCACUGAGCAACCUUCGGUAAGUCACUUCUCUCUGAACCUCAGUUUCCGUGGCGUCCCGAUGGAGUGGGGGCUGGCAUGGGUGGUGCAAGAAUUCACCCAAGUCAGAACAAAGGAGAUGGAGAUUUAUUGAAUACACUGCAAGAGAGCAGCGGGCAGGACAGCAAAGGAGAGACUGUCUGCCUGGUCUGCCACCAGGCGGUAUUGUGGGGCCACAGUUACAGGGUGGGAGGAGGAGAUAUGGGAACAUAUGGGAACUUUUUUUUUUUUUUUUUUUUUUUUUUUGGUAACUGUGUAAAUGGCCCAUUGGUUAGUUAAGGCCUGUGGCAAUUUUAAGAAGAGUUGCCUAAUGAGCCUACUUCAUGGGGGGAAGGGGAGGGGCGGUGGCUGUGGGCUAAUUUACCUCACUCAGGUUUCCACUGCUCAAGCCUGUUGCCUAAAAGUGGCCCUGAUCAUCCCCCCACCCCGACAGGUCGGCAAUGACAAAUCCUUGGCAUUUGAGUGGAAGUCUCAUCUUCAACGGCUUCUUCCUGCUGAACGAGGGGUGUAGAGAUGUCCCUACGUAUGGAUCAACAUUGAGACAGAGCAUGAGCGGGAUCAGAGAGAGAAGGAGUCACAGAAUCCAAAGCAGGCUCUAGGCUCUGAGCUGUCAGCACAGAGUCCAACACGGGGCUCGAACCCACAAACCGUGAGAUCAUGACCUGAGCCAAAGUCGGACGCUUAACCAACUGAGACACCCAGGCGCCCCACGCCUUGGUCAAGUUUCCAUUGCUUAAGCCUGUUCCCUAAAAGCAGCCUCUACAGUUUCCUCUUCUGUAAAUGGGGAAUUAUCAUAGCACCUCCUUCAUAGGGUCGUCUGAGGAUCAUCUGAUCUAAUGAAGGUAGGAUGCUUUGCUUGAAGUCUGGCCCUUAGUAAGACUCAGUUAAUGGUUACCAAUUAUGUCGAUUGUUAUAAGGAAUGUGGGAGGUUCUCGAAUAUUGGGUUAUGGUACUUGGGUUUUAUCUCUGAGGCAGUGGGGGGCUGUUCAGAGUUUUAUAAGUGCAACAUCAUCAUGACUUUAAAGGCUCCUCCCUUCAAGGUCGCAGGAAAGAGGGCUGAGCAGAAAACCCAGCUGUUCAUAGGUGCCGUGCUGGGACUGGAGUGGCCCAGUGGCCUAUUUGUGAUUCUUCAUUAUAUUCAGAGAACAUAAAUAAACCGAAGGCUUUAGUUACAUUUUAGAAUUGGACCUAAAAACAGCCAAACAGUCUUGUGUUCUGCUUCCUAGAAUCUACAGCUACAGAGCCCCAAAAAGAAGGAAUGAGGAUUCAAAGGCACCAGCCCAGGGAUAGAAUUUCCCCCACCCUGCCCUGCGCCCCACAGCCUUCCCCACAAGGGCACACCGAAGUUAGGGAGAAGGUGUGGGCUGGCCAGGGGGCUGGGCUGUUAUCAGGGUAGUGCAGUGGGUCGGGGCCAGUGGGGCGUGGCUAUUCUGUAUCUCUCCGGGCACAGAGCCCACAGGCCUGAGCUUUGAGGGGACAGGCAGCCAUAUCACCAGGCAUCAGUGAUGGCCUGGAGGGUCAAGAGAGUUGUUGGCCUGGGAUACAGGAUCCCUGGGCUCUGGAGACUGUGAACUUGGGCUACUCCCAGCUCCUCUUUGAGUCUCAGUUUUCAAACUGUGCAAGCAAUGAGUGCCCUGCCUCUGAUGUGUUCUGAAGGAUGUCCUCCCGGCUUGGCUCUGGGAGCACUAAGGAAUGUCCUGGAUAUUUGCUGGGAGCACAGAGGAAUGUCCUGAAUAUUUACUGCCAGCAUCCACUCCUACCCUGUUGUUACAGCAUCUCUUUUCCUUUGCGAAACCAUCCCUUCCCCUCCCUGUCCACGUGGUUUUAAGGGCAGGCCAGCUGGGACCAGCCAGUGAGAAAACCCUGUGAUUGCUUCAGGGAUGGGAGCCUGGCCCAGAGCCAGCCAAUGUGGGUUUGUCCUGGGACUUUUGCUUGAGAAAGAGCGUCUCUCUGAGCUCUGUAUUUGUUCAGCUGACCGCACGGUGCUUUGCUGGCCACGUCUGCUUCCAUGUGGGGUAAAUGUGCCUGUGUAUGAAGCCAGCACAGGGAAAGCAGGGAUGGGAAAGAAACAGAUUCCUAAUAUCUGAGCAUCUUGUUCCAGGCAUGCUUCUGGGUGAGCCCGAAUUCUCCCUCUUCUGCUUCAGCUAGUUUGAGAUGGGUUUCUGGCCUUUACAACCAUUGAUUCUGGCACACUAGGAGAACAAUCGUAAUCAUAACAGCAACAACGCUGUCCAGGAGCACUUAUCCAACGUCAGGCGCCAAGGUGGUGGUGGAGGGGGGCGGGGCUUGUCUGCUGUAGCAACUGGCAUUAAUGUUGUUUCAAGUUGCUGGCACAAAAUGAUAAAAUAACGUUGACGGACUUCAGCAGUUUUUAUUAUUUUUUUAAAUUCUUUUUAAAUAUUAUUUUCAUGUUUACUUAUUUUUGAGAGAGAGAGAGAGAGUGCGCAUGUGCACAAGCGAGUGAGAGGGGGGCAGAGAGAGAGGGAGACACAGAAUCGGAAGCAGGCUCCAGGCCCUGAGCUGUCAGCCCAGAGCCCGACCUGGGGCUCGAACCCAUGAGCCGUGAGAUGGUGACCUGAGCUGAAGUCGGAUGCUUAACCAACUGAGCCAUGCAGGUGCCCCAUAUUAUUUUUAAAUGCUUUAAAGACAGUGCACCCCUGUGGUAGGGACAACGACCUGCUGCCCCAUCUGCCUUCGAGGCAGUAAUUGCUGCCCAGGUGCAGGGACACUGGCAGGCUGGACACUCCCACAGGAUCUGCUGCUGCAGAGACUUUUCCCAAAGUGGCUGCGACUGAGCACAGUAGCGGUUGAAAGGUCAGGUCAUUUCAGCCCAAUGGGGAAAACCGAUGGGUAAGUCUGUCUCCGGACCCCCCGGUGGGGUUGGCCAAGGCCUUGUGGCCUCCUCCCCCACCGACCACUCCUUCUUCUCAAUCUCGUUUCCCCCCUCCUUUCAGCAAGGUGGAGGCCUAAAAACUUCUUGCACCCCAAGCUCUGUCUCAGCCUCUGCUUUUGGAGAACCCAUCCCGUGACGCCCUCACUGUACCGGCCCCUCUACUGCGCCUGGUGUGUGCUUCUGGGCAUUGUACCUGUCUUGUCCUCUCGGUGUUAUUUCUUCUGUGUUACAGAUAAGGAAAUCGAGACUCAGGAAGAUGAAGACUGGCACAAAUCACUUGUCUGCUUCGGUUAGAAAA
Long non-coding RNA from Acinonyx jubatus (cheetah), 7684 nucleotides. RefSeq lists it as uncharacterized. The transcript is spliced from 4 exons. Lineage: Eukaryota; Metazoa; Chordata; Mammalia; Carnivora; Felidae. The record is from RefSeq and is a predicted model, not a curated record.